GAUGAACGCUGGCGGCGUGCUUAACACAUGCAAGUCGAACGGUCAAGGCGGAGCUUUCUCUGCUGGAUCAGUGGCGAACGGGUGAGUAACACGUGAGCAAUCUGCCCCUGACUCUGUGAUAAGCUCUGGAAACGGCGUCUCAUACUGUAUACGAGCUGCUAAUGCAUCUUCAGCAUCUGUAAAGAAUUUCGGUCGGGGAUGGGCUCGCGGGGUAUCAGCUUGUUGGUGAGGUAAUGGCUCACCAAGGGGUCGACGGGUAGCCGGCAUGAGAGGGUGACCGGCCACAAUGGGACUGAGACACGGACCAGAAGGCUACGGGAGGCAGCAGUGGGGAAUAUUGCAGAAUGGGCGAAAGCCUGAUGCAGCAACGCCGCGUGAGGGAAGACGGCCUUCGGGUUGUAAACCUAUUUUAGAAGGGAAGAAGAGAAAGUGACGGUACCUGAAGAAAAAGCGCCGGCUAACUACGUG
RNAcentral lists this ribosomal RNA (468 nucleotides) under uncultured bacterium. Its description in RNAcentral is "partial 16S ribosomal RNA". It matches the Rfam family "Bacterial small subunit ribosomal RNA", at positions 28 to 507 of the family's 1533-position model. The record is from RNAcentral.